UACGUAGGGAGCAAGCGUUGUCCGGAAUCAUUGGGCGUAAAGCGCGCGUAGGUGGCCUCAUAAGUCCGCUGUGAAAGUCAAAGGCUCACCCUUUGAAAGCCGGUGGAUACUGUGAGGCUAGAGUACGGAAGAGGCGAGUGGAAUUCCUGGUGUAGCGGUGGAAUGCGCAGAUAUCAGGAGGAACACCAAUAGCGAAGGCAGCUCGCUGGGACGUUACUGACACUGAGGCGCGAAAGCGUGGGGAGCGAACAGG
This 253-nucleotide ribosomal RNA is filed under the name uncultured bacterium. Its description in RNAcentral is "partial 16S ribosomal RNA". It matches the Rfam family "Bacterial small subunit ribosomal RNA", at positions 524 to 776 of the family's 1533-position model. The record is from RNAcentral.